AUGUCCGGCAGCUUCGUGUUCCUCCCCAGCCGGGCGGUGGCGCACAUGAUGCGACGAUGGAAUUACCAGGAAGGCUCGGGUCUCGGCGCGCAGGGGCAAGGGAUCGUCGUGCCUAUACAAGCCGUCGUGCGGGUGCGGCGGCGUCCAAAGGCCGGCCUCGGCUACCGUGAGAAACCAUACGACAAUGGUCUCCACGUGCCGCUGGAGCCGCCCGUGGAGGAGGAGUGCCGUGAGUGGGAGAAUAUUGCACGUGCUAUGCGGCUCGAAACGGAGUGCUGCGAGACCAUCCUCGCGCUCCUGCAUGACAUGAGGCUUCAAGGGGACGACAGCGUGGAGACGACGGAUGCGCUCAAGGCCGUGGCCGAGUCCAAGAAGGGGCUCCAUGGGAAGCGCAUGCUGGGGACGUGGAAAGCCAGGCUGCCUUCUUCCGCCGCGCGCUACAUAAUCGAGCAGGUGAUCACGCCGAGGAUGGUCGUCGACGUGCGAGAGUGGAAGCCAUCAUGGGAUCCGGACUGUCACAACUGGCUACGCCCGUUCAUUCCCCUCAUCGGCCACUUACCAGAGAGCCUCUACGGUACCGUGGAGAGCAAGAUCAGGAACGGCGACUACGAGGUCGUGUCGCCAUGGAAGGAAUACCUUAGCCCGGUGCAGUGGGACACCUUCAGCAAGCGUCACAUCCUGCCAAUGCUAACACGGUUAGUACGGGAGAUGAAGAUCACGCCGCCGAAGCAAAACCGACCCUUCGUUCCGGAUGGUGAUGUUGUGGGCACCUCUCCUGCGCGCUCAAGACGUGGUGUCGAUCCUAGAAGCCGAACAGUUCUUUGA
Molecule: ribosomal RNA, 825 nt
Filed under: Triticum aestivum (bread wheat)
Lineage: Eukaryota; Viridiplantae; Streptophyta; Magnoliopsida; Poales; Poaceae
Description: partial small subunit ribosomal RNA
Source: RNAcentral